Molecule: non-coding RNA, 150 nt
Filed under: [Clostridium] symbiosum
Lineage: Bacteria; Bacillati; Bacillota; Clostridia; Lachnospirales; Lachnospiraceae
Also listed under: 1 other name
Description: Clostridium symbiosum SAM-I sequence
Rfam family: SAM riboswitch aptamer (S box leader)
About the family: The SAM riboswitch is found upstream of a number of genes which code for proteins involved in methionine or cysteine biosynthesis in Gram-positive bacteria. The SAM riboswitch acts at the level of transcription termination control.
Source: RNAcentral
CCCUUAUUCAGAGUGAUGGAGAUACAAAGGAUCUGUGAAGUCACGGCAACCCCGUUUAAGCAGGAAGGACGAUAAGUCCGGACGGCAGGGAACGGAAGGUGCCAGCCUGAGCGAGGAGCCGGAAGAAUUCGGUUAAUCGAGCAAUAAGAG